RNAcentral lists this ribosomal RNA (445 nucleotides) under Bacillus sp. A07M339. Its description in RNAcentral is "bacterial SSU rRNA". It matches the Rfam family "Bacterial small subunit ribosomal RNA", at positions 95 to 526 of the family's 1533-position model. RNAcentral also lists the same sequence under 19 other names. The record is from RNAcentral. Lineage: Bacteria; Bacillati; Bacillota; Bacilli; Caryophanales; Bacillaceae.
GCGGCGGACGGGUGAGUAACACGUGGGUAACCUGCCUGUAAGACCGGGAUAACUCCGGGAAACCGGUGCUAAUACCGGAUAGAUUAUCUUUCCGCCUGGAGAGAUAAGGAAAGAUGGCUUUUGCCAUCACUUACAGAUGGGCCCGCGGCGCAUUAGCUAGUUGGUGAGGUAACGGCUCACCAAGGCGACGAUGCGUAGCCGACCUGAGAGGGUGAUCGGCCACACUGGGACUGAGACACGGCCCAGACUCCUACGGGAGGCAGCAGUAGGGAAUCUUCCGCAAUGGACGAAAGUCUGACGGAGCAACGCCGCGUGAGUGAAGAAGGUCUUCGGAUCGUAAAGCUCUGUUGUUAGGGAAGAACAAGUAUCGGAGGAAAUGCCGGUACCUUGACGGUACCUGACGAGAAAGCCACGGCUAACUACGUGCCAGCAGCCGCGGUAAUAC